AUUUAGUUCAAAUGUUAAGUAACAAUCACACUUGUUUUAUCGUUUUAAGCAGAAGCUAUGUUGAUGUAAUUUCUAGAUCUAUUAGCUAAUAAAAAGGUAUUCAAGCAUAUUCUGUAACUUUAAUGAUACAUGGUGUAGAGUAGUAAGUACAAUUUCGACAUUUGUCCCAGAUACAGGAGUAUUUUAAUAACAAGUCUUAGAGAAAUGUGUUGGUAAAGAUGCACAAAGUGAUAUAUGUUAUAUACUAAUUGAUAGCUUACUUAGUCAUUGGUUUUCUGUUCAGAUACAUUAUAUACUGCAAGUGAGACAGCUUCCAUGAUAAUGUAUACUUGAAUUAGCCAUUUUGAAUGUUGACAGUGGAUAUGUAAAAGGCACGCGUAUGCUAUCAGGGCUAGUAAGUGUGCAAAAAGUCUGCUUUCUGCAUUAGUCUUUGGUCGGGUUAGAUGAAAUUCAUCUGAAGACAUUUUCAAAAAAUGUCAGUGCUUUUUGGGAAGUAGUAGAUGGACAAGGGAUGGGCACAGAGGGAUUUAAAAUGUGUGUCAUGACAAAAAAGUGCACAGUUUAGUUACAUAAUUAAUAUUACUGUAUUUUUAUUGUAUUGCAUUUACUAUGAGAGGCAGAGCUUGAUAUUCGUUUGGUGAAGUGACUGAGCAAGAAAGGAAACCAUUUUGGUCUCAAAGAUUGCUGGGUAGGUUCUCUAAUUCCUCUACUUUCUGGUCCAAUUAAAUUUGUUUCUAUAUGUUGAGAAUGAUAUUUUUUCACACAGCUCUUGUAUAAGAAAUCUAAUACCCUCACUCUUUUGUUGGCAGGCCACGAAAGGAGUAGGAGGCUCCUUCCACAAUCAUGGUUGAACCUCUGUGUCUAGGUGCCACAGGUUCAAAAGGGAGGAAUCCAAAAGCGGAUGUAGAAGGUCUCUGAGGUUGGCAUCCCUCUAACAAAGUAAUAAUUCUCUGCUGACACAAAAAGGCAUCAUCAUUAUUCCACCAUUUAAAACACAGACUGGGGAGUGGAUAUACAUUAGGAUUAUGUUCUGCAAUUCCGCUUCUUCCUGAUAAUCUUAUUGUGUUUAAGGUUAUGAAGGUUGACUCUAAGGUAGAGGGCAUUAAAAGAUGUGUAGUAUAUCUAAAAUGUUUGAUCAGUUUAUCUAUUUCUUGUUGUUAUCAGGGGUGGAUCCAGAGCCCAAACCCAGGUGUAGCACUACUGUAUUUUGUGGCAAUUCUUAAUGAUGGACACAUAUAUCCACACAAAGCACAGGUGUACACAUUUCCAAUUAUGCCUACCGUGACAAAUGCCUACACACAUUUAGGUGUGCAACUUCUGCUUUGACAGGGGCAUUGGUUUCCUAAUUCCUUCCUCAGAAAUGAAUUAAAUGUCUCCUUUCCUGUGUAUGUAGACUUAACAAGCGGUGGUGCAUGUGAUUUUUUUUUAACAACUUGGAUGCAUGUAUUUGGGUACAGAACAGAGGUGACCUCUCAGUUAGCCCCUGAUGCAAGCUAAACAUAAAUUCCUUAGGCUUCCCAGGGGAAGUAUUUGCCCUGGCGCUCCCUCUUGAAUUCACCAAUGUCAUUAGCCACUAUCAUCAGGUUUGCCAAGAAUGAUACAACUGAGUAACAAUUGCAAGAAACAUGGUUGUUUGCCUUGGAUUUUGAUGAUUGCCAGUUUUAUUUCAUUCUGUUUGUUCAAGCACAAAUUAAAUGACUAACGAGGAGCUCACCCACUCAUCCAAAAGCAGUAAACCUGCUGAUGUGUGAAGACUCUGUGCUCUUAUGCCAAAGAUAGUCUGUGCUCCUAUCCAAAGUAGGUAUGGCAAUUAAACAAUGCAUCACCUCCCGAGAGAACAUUUUAGGCAUGGUUUGGUGUACGUUUUUACAAAAAAAGGUUGUAUAUAAAGCUCAGGACCUGUAUUUCAGAAGGAAUGUUGAUGUCUUUGUUACUCUUAUCAAAUUUGUGGGCUUUAAUCUGGUUCCUUAAAAGGAAUCAAGACAAGUUCUACAUGGUUUAUCACUUUCCAUGUCCACAUGGAUUUCAGGGAAUGAUUUUAUAGUUCUUGAUUUUUGUAGAGUACCCUUUGGCUCUAUGGUUCGUUUUGAGGAAGGGCCCCACUUAACAUAUGAAUGAAAGAAAUGUGACUCUCAUUCCUAUAGGAGUUCCUUGAGAAUACAGUUUAGGCUACCAGUUACAAAGACCAUUAUCAGCAUGUGCAAGCAGUUUGGACAGGAUUGAACAAUAUAGUGACCUAAAAAAGGUGUCAAGGUCAGAGAUAUAGGACAGAGAAUAGUCAGAUACAGGCCUUGUAGAGUCAGGUGGAUAUAUGAGUGUAACAAAGCCAAGGUUCAGGGAUGUCAGAAUACAGUAUAAAGAAUUAAACAAAGCCAAGUCACCUACCAGAAAUACCAAGGGUAUAAGAACGUGCUCUUGGGCUACAGACACAGGCCAUGGAAGAGAACGGUUUAAAUAGGAAUAUGUGUGUGGUGAUAAGUUAGGGACCGCAGUGGAGGUAAGUACCGCCUGGGUUAAAAAAGUAUUUUACUUACCUUUUCUACCUUGCAGCGCUGGCAUCCUCACUGAAGCUCCACAUCUUUGGCUGAGAUCAUUGAGAUUAAUGCGUUGCCAAUCAGGUGGUCAUUCUAAGACCAUCUGGUUGGCAACCAAUUGGCAACCACUCUGCUAUUUUACAGAAGCACCUCUUGUGGAUGUCAUGUUAACAGCUACUAGAGGCAGGUUAACCCUGCAAAGAAGCCAUUGACGUUCCUUCAGAAUGGCAAUGUUAUAGAGUUAAAGCUGGGGGCACAUGGUACUCAGACCACUCCAUUGAGAUAGGGCACACUUAAUAGGGCACACAUGGGGUGGGUCACAGCACAGAACAUGGCUGUGCAAUACAAAAAAAACAAACAAACCCAGCUUCCCCCACACACAGAUAAUAGCCCUAAAACCCUUUGGUAUUCAAAUGUGCACAGGGAUUAGGGAUAACGCACAGGUAACUUUUUGGGUUUUGUUUACAUAUUUUGAAUACUAUAGCUAUUGCUGUUGUCCAAGAGUAGUGGGAGUUUAAGUGCAGGGCAUAUUUCUGUGUGCUUUAAAGUACUUUUUAAAAACCAUAUGUAGUUUUAAAAACAAAAUACAGUUACAUAUUUAAAUUUGGAUUGAUGUCUUACUAACCCAAUGUACCGUUUGGCAGAAUAUGCUGGUUCUAUAUGAUGAAUAAUAAUAUUAUUAUUAAUAAUAAUAAUAAUAAUAAUAAUAAUAGAUGUUAUUGCUUCACCACAGGUGGGUUCAUUCCAAUUACCAUUUAACUAAUUAAAUUAUCAGUAUGAAAUGCUAUCUGUUUGCAGGAAUGCCCCUAAACCCUGUAAACUGGAGGUUGGGCAACUAAUGUAUUGAAGAAUAAAUAGCCUUUUGGAACAUAUAAAUAUAUUUUUAAGCAAACUUUCCAUGGCAGAAAUAUUUUAUGAAAAUGAUUUCAAUUGUUACUAUAUUUUUUCUUUUAAUUAUAUUUCAAGUUAUUCUUCUUCUUUUGAAUUUACUGAGAAAAUAUAAAAGAAAGCACGAGCAUAAUUAAAUCAUUAAUAUGCAAUUAAUUUUUGUUGCAACAGUAGAUAGUUAACAAGACCCUAUUUUAUAUCAGGAUUAAAACUCGAUCUGACAGUUUUCUGCUGGUAAAUCCCCGUGGAGUCAGAAUUACAGGUAAAAAAAAUAAAAUGCUCAGUUUGCUUUUCUCUGUUGGCUGAGUAAUCCUUCAGUAUGAAAUACAAUGCACUAUGGAAAAAAUAUCAUUAGGAGCUUGUGUUUAACCCCUGGUAUCUUUCCUAUGGAGAUACGUGUUUGACUAGAAACAUAUUUAAAGCAAAAUAAUAUUGUGAAGUGGAGCGGUCUUUAACUGCAAUACACCCCUAUCUCACAUGCAGCACAAUUAGCAGGUUAAAAAUAUACUUAUACUUCUUGCUGAAUGGUAUCUCGAUUGAUGUGCAGCGUAUAAAAGAAAAAGCAAAAGUGAUCAUAGAACAGAUCUGUUGCAUUAACUUGCACUUCUAUGGAUAGUGCUAAAAGUCACAUAUACUUUGUUAAAUCAGCUGAAUAUUAACAAGUUUAUUACAAAUAUAAAACAGAUAUAAAAAUUAAAAAGCAAGUUAUAAUAACAAUUAAAAUACAAAUACAGGACAAGUCACUGUUUAGUUAACAUGUCACAAACAGCUCAUUGCUCAUUGCAUAAUCUGUAUACUACAAAACAAAUGUGAAACAAAAAUAAAGCAUAUCACUAAGAAUGGCUACAGAGCAGAUAGCUGCUUACUAGAAUUGUUGGUGAGUACAACGGUAUGUGUGUACGUUUACUCACAGCCAGGCUUUCCCACACUGGGAGAUGUCUCCUGUAUUAAGAAGUUGAGGGAGGUCAGAUAGAGUUCCUCUUUAUUGCUGUUCGGGUGCCAUCCAGUUCAGCAUAUAACACAGCUGUACCGCUCAAGGGUGCGGAGCCUAUCCAGAAGCCAGGCGUUCUGAAAGCGGUACAGCUGAGCUAUAUGCUGAACUUGAUGGAUGGCGUAGUGGAUGGUUGGUGGAAAGCCACCCUGUUCCAACAAGGCUGCGACGUCAGCAAGGCGGAGGUGGAGUCAUGUUUUGGGCCGGAAUCAUAGGAAGAGAGCUGGUCGGCCCCCUUAGGGUCCCCAAAGGUGUUAAGAUGACCUUUACAAAGUAUGUGGAGUUUCUGACUGACCACUUUCUUCCCUGGUACAGAAGGAAGAACUAUGCUUUCCGUAAUAAAAUCCUCUUCAUGCAUGACAAUGCACCAUCUCAUGCUCCAAAGAAUACCUCUGCAUCAAUGGCUGCUAUGGGGAUAAAAGGAGAGAAAGUCGUGAUGUGGCCUCCAUCCUCCCCUGACCUCAAUCCUAGUGAGAACCUUUGAAACAUCCUCAAGCAAAAUAUCUAUGAGAGUGGGAGGCAGUUUACAUCCAAACAGCAGCUCUGGGGGGCUAUUCUGACAUCUUGCAAACAAAUUCAAGCAGAAACUGUCCAAAAACUCACAAGUUCAAUGGAUGCAAGACUUGUGAAGCUGCUAUCAUAUAACGG
This 5061-nucleotide long non-coding RNA is filed under the name Pelobates cultripes (western spadefoot toad). Lineage: Eukaryota; Metazoa; Chordata; Amphibia; Anura; Pelobatidae. The record is from RNAcentral.